AGGCGAAACCUCCGGGAGGAGGUCCGGCCGGGUGGUUCCCGGUCGCUGAUGAGCCAGCCUGCU
This 63-nucleotide non-coding RNA is filed under the name Streptomyces sp. RK76. Lineage: Bacteria; Bacillati; Actinomycetota; Actinomycetes; Kitasatosporales; Streptomycetaceae. The record is from RNAcentral.